RNAcentral lists this unclassified non-coding RNA (174 nucleotides) under uncultured fungus. RNAcentral describes it as "sequence contains ITS1". Lineage: Eukaryota; Fungi. The record is from RNAcentral.
CUGAGUAUUCUUACUCUCAAACCCAUGUGAACUUUACCACUUGUUGCCUCGGUGGUUGGUUGCUGAUCGUUCUCUCCCCGAAAGGGGGGCGGGCGGUCUUCGGCUAUAGCCACCGGUGGACCUUCUAAACUCUUUUGUUAUACUGUUUCUCUGAGUAAAUACAAAAAUGAAUCA